CACCUCUCAGGGUGGCACCUGGAGGGUUUCCAGUACUCUACCAGUCUCGACUACAGGAGGGAGAGUCAAGCAGAGGCAUAUCCAUUCCAGUCCUAGGUUGGGCAAUAGCUAGCGGGUGCAAGACAAUCUGCUACAAGU
Molecule: small nucleolar RNA, 138 nt
Organism: Ornithorhynchus anatinus (platypus)
Lineage: Eukaryota; Metazoa; Chordata; Mammalia; Monotremata; Ornithorhynchidae
Source: RefSeq, a predicted model, not a curated record